Molecule: transfer RNA, 57 nt
Filed under: Onchocerca flexuosa
Lineage: Eukaryota; Metazoa; Nematoda; Chromadorea; Rhabditida; Onchocercidae
Description: tRNA-Lys
Source: RNAcentral
AAAGAAUUAUUUUAAAUUUAGAAUUUUUGACUCUUAAUCAGAAGGUUUAUUUCUUUA